RNAcentral lists this ribosomal RNA (326 nucleotides) under uncultured eukaryote. RNAcentral's name for it is "partial 18S ribosomal RNA". It matches the Rfam family "Eukaryotic small subunit ribosomal RNA", at positions 1470 to 1795 of the family's 1831-position model. The record is from RNAcentral.
CCCUUAGAUGUCCGGGGCCGCACGCGCGCUACAAUGGAUGAAUCAACGCGUCAUCCUGGCCCGAAAGGGUUGGGGAACCGCUGAACCUCAUCCGUGGUUGGGAUUGGGGUUUGUAAUUAUUCCCCAUGAACUAGGAAUUCCCAGUAAGCGCGAGUCAUAAGCUCGCGUUGAUUACGUCCCUGCCCUUUGUACACACCGCCCGUCGCUACUACCGAUUGGAUGGUUUAGUGAGAUCCUCGGAUUGGUCACGGCACGGUGGCAACACUGCGUCGGUGUGCCGAGAAGACGAUCAAACUUGAUCAUCUAGAGGAAGUAAAAGUCGUAAC